UCCCUGGUAGCUCAGUCCGUAAAGAAUCUGCCUGCAGUGCAGAAGACCCAGGUUUGAUCCCUGGGUUGGGAA
RNAcentral lists this transfer RNA (72 nucleotides) under Ovis aries (sheep). It matches the Rfam family "tRNA". From Rfam's summary of the family: Transfer RNA (tRNA) molecules are approximately 80 nucleotides in length. Their secondary structure includes four short double-helical elements and three loops (D, anti-codon, and T loops). The record is from Rfam by way of RNAcentral. Lineage: Eukaryota; Metazoa; Chordata; Mammalia; Artiodactyla; Bovidae.